This 107-nucleotide small nuclear RNA is filed under the name Castor canadensis (American beaver). Lineage: Eukaryota; Metazoa; Chordata; Mammalia; Rodentia; Castoridae. The record is from RNAcentral.
GUGCUUGCUUCCGAAGCACAUAUACUAAAAUUGGAAUGAUACAGAGAAGAUUAUCACAGUUCCUGUGUAAGGAUGAUACUUAAAUCCACGAAGCACUCCAUAUAUAU